UACGACUACAUAUCAGGCAUAUCAAUAAGCGGAGGAAAAGAAACUAACUAGGAUUCCCUUAGUAACGGCGAGUGAAGCGGGAAGAGCUCAAAUUUGAAAUCUUCAAGGUUUUACCUUGACGAAUUGUAGUUUAAAGAAGUGUUUUCUGUUGGUGUUUUGGUAAAAGUUCUUUGGAAUAGGACAUCAUAGAGGGUGAGAAUCCCGUAUUUGACCAUCACUUCCAGCUGUGUGAUACACUUUCAAAGAGUCGGAUUGUUUGGGAAUGCAGUCCAAGAUGGGUGGUAAAUUCCAUCUAAAGCUAAAUAUUGGCGAGAGACCGAUAGCGAACAAGUACCGUGAGGGAAAGAUGAAAAGAACUUUGAAAAGAGAGUUAAACAGUACGUGAAAUUGUCAAAAGGGAAGCGUUUGACACCAGUGUUGUUUUUCCGAAAAUCAAUUACGAAUGUUUUGUUUUUGAGGAGUUAUGACUUCAUCGGCUUGCUCCUUUCUUUACGAAACUUUCUUAAUGCACUUUUCGGUUAACAAGUCAACAUCAAUUUCUUUUGUUGUAAAAGGGUAUGAGGAAGGUGGCUUUCUUUUCGGAGAAAGUGUUUAUAGCCUUGUGCCUCUGCAAUCGGAGAGAUUGAGGUCUGCAGCGUAGAUCCUUCGGGGUUAGAUACGUUUGUGCUAAGUUAUAGCUUUUCAUAGACAACUUGUUGACUAUGUUUAGUCUUGUAGCUUACUCGCUGACGCUAUUUUACCUACGCUUAGGAUGUUGAUCUCUCACAGUCGAGC
This 774-nucleotide ribosomal RNA is filed under the name uncultured Neocallimastigales. RNAcentral's name for it is "partial large subunit ribosomal RNA". It matches the Rfam family "Eukaryotic large subunit ribosomal RNA", at positions 24 to 645 of the family's 3401-position model. Lineage: Eukaryota; Fungi; Neocallimastigomycota; Neocallimastigomycetes; Neocallimastigales. The record is from RNAcentral.